AUGUGCACCCUCGCCACAGGUUGGGGCGGUCAACGCAGCCGGCGCCGGGCUCCUCCUUGCGCAGGAGGCCAAAUCGGGGGGAGGGGGCGGCACCCCUCGCCGGAUCCGGCAGCCAACGUUGGGCGGCUCCUCGCGCUGGAGGCCAAAUCGGGGCCGCGGCACGGGAUCCGGCAGCCCACGCUGGGCAUCUACUCGUGCGGGAGGUCAAAUCGGGGCGGCGGCGCGGCAUCCCUCGCCGGAUCCGGACGAGGUGGCGACGGUGGGGGCCAAAUCGUGGCGACUGCGCGGCAUCCCUCGCCGAAGGUGGCGGCGCCUGGAGCAUGUGCGCGCACCAGCGUCGGCGGCUCACGUGGUGGUGCACGGCCGCAUGUGGUGCAUCGAGGGCACCACCACCGUGGUGGAAUGGAGCGGGGAGCGCCGGGGCUGGCUCGAGGUGGGCCCUUACCCGCCUAG
This 453-nucleotide ribosomal RNA is filed under the name Triticum aestivum (bread wheat). Its description in RNAcentral is "partial small subunit ribosomal RNA". The record is from RNAcentral. Lineage: Eukaryota; Viridiplantae; Streptophyta; Magnoliopsida; Poales; Poaceae.